GUGGGGAAUAUUCCGCAAUGGACGAAAGUCUGACGGAGCAACGCCGCGUGAGUGAUGAAGGUUUUCGGACUGUAAAGCUCUGUUGUUUAGGACGAAAGUGCCUGUUGCAAACAGUUACAGGUAUUGACGGUACUAAACGAGGAAGCCACGGCUAACUACGAGCCAGCAGCCGCGGUAAUACGUAGGUGGCAAGCGUUGUCCGGAAUUAUUGGGCGUAAAGAGCAUGUAGGCGGGAAUCUAAGUCUGUUGUGAAAAUGCGGGGCUCAACCCCGUAUUGCGAUGGAAACUGGGUUUCUUGAGUGCAGGAGAGGAAAGGGGAAUUCCCAGUGUAGCGGUGAAAUGCGUAGAUAUUGGGAGGAACACCAGUGGCGAAGGCGCCUUUCUGGACUGUGUCUGACGCUGAGAUGCGAAAGCCAGGGUAGCGAACGGGAUUAGAUACCCUAGUAGUCC
This 450-nucleotide ribosomal RNA is filed under the name uncultured bacterium. Its description in RNAcentral is "partial 16S ribosomal RNA". It matches the Rfam family "Bacterial small subunit ribosomal RNA", at positions 354 to 796 of the family's 1533-position model. The record is from RNAcentral.